Maylandia zebra (zebra mbuna) is the source of this 83-nucleotide non-coding RNA. The record is from the annotation of a RefSeq genome assembly. NCBI's taxonomy places the organism in Eukaryota, Metazoa, Chordata, Actinopteri, Cichliformes, Cichlidae.
GUUGUUGUGGCCGAGCGGUCAAGGCGAUGGACUCGAAAUCCAUUGGGGGGCUCCCCGCACAGGUUCGAAUCCUGUCCACAACG